AAAGUUUGUUUGGGUUUUUCUGUAAGAUGUUGUUGAAAAACCUGAACAAACCUUUUUGGCUCACCCAAUAUUUCUCCCUCUACUUUUUUGGUAACUCCUUGUUGGUGAGGGAUGAAUAACAAAUAGUAUCCCCCGAUAAUUUUUAACCUUUUUUCUCCUCUGAAGCACCUAUUUGCCAACAAAUGCCUCUUGGAGCUGUAAGUUCAUGGUGUCAGUCUGAAGAAUAAGCUUCGUAUUGACAUUGGAAGUUAAAUUAAAGUAGUAGAAAUCAACAGCUGGCUACGCACUGGCUGAAGAAGAUACACACUCCGAAGAGACAAAGGGGGACAUCCUGUGUCCCAUGGGCCCGAGGGAUAUGGAAGUAGCUGAGAGAGCUGGACCUGGGGGAUCCUGGUGGUGGAGAAGAAAGGCCAGUGCAACAGUCGCCUUGAAUCCACAGUCAAGGACCAGAAAGGAUGCUGCACAUUCCAUGUGCCAUGAAGCCAGAGAAAAGGAUGUUAGGCCCAAAUCUGCAUCGAAUAUUUUAUGAUGUUCUCCCAGCACCAGGACGAUACCCAGUGCUGAUGCACCUGUGUGUGAAGACAGAGUGACUUCCAUUUUGGCAUGUCUCUUGACUAUUCCACUUGAAGGCAUGUUGGCAUUCUACUCCCCAACUCACUCCCUGCCUGUAAGAAGAAGGUGGAAAGUUGGACUAAUUAUUGAUGUAUUCUUCCUGCUUUUAUCCCCACUCUCUUCUACAGACAGGGAACUAAAUCUUAAGUAGCUAAUAAAGGACUUUACUUAGUGUGGAAUAGCUCUCA
This 800-nucleotide long non-coding RNA is filed under the name Bos indicus x Bos taurus (hybrid cattle). RNAcentral describes it as "lncRNA (ENSBIXG00005001895.1)". The record is from RNAcentral. Lineage: Eukaryota; Metazoa; Chordata; Mammalia; Artiodactyla; Bovidae.